Piliocolobus tephrosceles (Ugandan red Colobus) is the source of this 62-nucleotide small nuclear RNA. Its record names the gene U7. It matches the Rfam family "U7 small nuclear RNA". Rfam says of the family: Animal histone pre-mRNAs are spliced by a different mechanism than nuclear pre-mRNAs and self-splicing introns. This processing involves the U7 snRNP, which contains only one RNA species: U7. The record is from Ensembl. Lineage: Eukaryota; Metazoa; Chordata; Mammalia; Primates; Cercopithecidae.
UCACAUUGCAGCUCUUUUAAAAUUUGUCUAGCAGGUUUUCUGGUCUUUACCAGAAAGCCCCC